GACGAACGCUGGCGGCGUGCCUAAUACAUGCAAGUUGAGCGAUGAGGAUUGGUGCUUGCACCUAUUUGAAGAGCAGCGAACGGGUGAGUAACGCGUGGGGAAUCUGCCUUUGAGCGGGGGACAACAUUUGGAAACGAAUGCUAAUACCGCAUAACAACUUUAAACAUAAGUUUUAAGUUUGAAAGAUGCAAUUGCAUCACUCAAAGAUGAUCCCGCGUUGUAUUAGCUAGUUGGUGAGGGAAAGGCUCACCAAGGCGAAGAUACAGAGCCGACCUGAGAGGGUGAUCCGCCAAAUUGGGACUGAGAAACGGCCCAAACUCCUAAGGGAGGCAGCCGUAGGGAAACUUCGGCAAUGGACGAAAGUCUGACCGAGCAAAGCCGCGGGAGUGAAGAAGGUUCUCGGAUCGUAAAACUCUGUUGGUAGAGAAGAACGUUGGUGAGAGUGGAAAGCUCAUCAAGUGACGGUAACUACCCAGAAAGGGACGGCUAACUACGUG
RNAcentral lists this ribosomal RNA (497 nucleotides) under uncultured bacterium. Its description in RNAcentral is "partial 16S ribosomal RNA". It matches the Rfam family "Bacterial small subunit ribosomal RNA", at positions 28 to 507 of the family's 1533-position model. The record is from RNAcentral.